RNAcentral lists this long non-coding RNA (3152 nucleotides) under Durio zibethinus. Its description in RNAcentral is "long non-coding RNA (DZIB_LNC000062)". Lineage: Eukaryota; Viridiplantae; Streptophyta; Magnoliopsida; Malvales; Malvaceae. The record is from RNAcentral.
UAUUCAAAAUAAAUAAAAUAAUGAAUGUUGAUUUGUAUUUUUUUAUAUAAUGUAUAUGACUUAAAAUAAACAUAGCCUUGAAUGUUUUUCUAUCUAAACAAUAUAAGCUCAACAAUAUCCAUUCAUCUAAGAGAAGUUUAGCAUACAAAUAUCAAUAAUAAAGAUUAAAAAACGGCCAAUAUCAUCAUUGACCAAUGAAAGAUAUCAACUUGCAAAACAAUUAAAAAAGAAAUCGAAUCAAAAUUUCCAAAAUACCUUCAAGGUGAACUCUUUCAUCCUUGCUUGAAAAAUAUUUACAGCAAAUUGAGCAAUGAAUGCUACCACCAAAGAUAACCUAUCAAUCUCCUGCAUCAAACACAAAUUCAUAUUUUGAAAAGUUUCAUUUGAGGAAAUCCAAUUCAUUGACAAUCUAUUGAAAAAUUUUCAUGUUAAUAGAUACAACAAAGUCAAAAUCUUAUGGGUUUUAUCUUUAAAAUAAUGGUAAAAAUUUAAAAAAAAAAAAAGCAACAAAAUAUAUUAUAAGAAAAUAUAAUGAUUUUGUUAUUUUACAGGUUUAUAUUAGAUAACUUUAGAAAUUAAAUUUUUCCAUAAAGGACAUAAUAAAAUAAAGAUUCAUUAAUAUAUGAUAAAUUUAAAAAAUACAGUAUUGAAAUGAGACUUAAAUCCAAAGUUACAGUUUUUCUGUUCACAAAAAUGAUAACCUGUACACAUAUUAAUGCAGAAACUUAUGCCAUGAUAAAAAUGAACCCAAGCAUCUAUUCUAUAGAUUGAACUCCCAAAUAAUUAUCACUUGAAAGAAAUUUAAAGCUUGGUACUUGAUUUGUUCACUUCAUAUUAACUAAUGGAUGACAGCAUUGGAUCCAUGCCAAGUUUGGAUCCUCCAGAAGCAUCGGUUUCAACAUGCUUCACUCUACCAAAAUAACAGAUAUGGCAUAAGAGCCUAGCCAGGAAAAUGUUAUGGCAAAUGGUUGAGCUAUCACACACAAUUACCACAUGUUUAUAUGUCCUUAUUAUGGUAACAUUCAUUCGCCUACUAUGAUUAUUGAUCUUUUCUUCUUUCACUCAACUAAAUUAUAGCUAUAUUCAUUUCCGUACCAAAAAAAAAAGCAAGUUAAGAAAACAGAUUACUGGACUGAAUCACAAAAAAGCAGGACUUUAAUCAACAAAGCCUCAUUUCAGAGUCAACCAACAUCAAUUGAUAUUUCCCUUCUUUUACAAAAAUAAUUUUUUUAUAAAGUCAUAAUUAGCCACAGUUGCAUCAAAACUUUAGCCCAAACUCUUUUGUAGUUUCUGCUAGUCCUAAUUAGCACCUAACAACACAAUCCCACCAACAUCUAUAAACCAUAUGCUCGACUAUGCCAUGUGCAUCCUAUCUCAGGCCUAGAAUGGAUAGGUUAAAUGUGAACUAUUAGAGAGGAAAGAAUGCAUACAAUAUAAGUAGCAUAUAGGAGAUGGGACAGGAUAAAAAUAAGAAAAUCUCAAAUUUGCUCAUCAGAUUAUGAUGAGAAAAGUUUAAGACAGUAUGAGAAAUUGUCAUCCAUGAAAAGGAUUGAGCAACUCACAAUGGUAAGAAUGAUCAUAUAAUUCUUCACAUGACUAUUUGAAUUAAGUAGUAAGCACAGGUAUGACAUAGGCAUAGUAAUUAAUAGCUAAUUAGAUACGCCAACUACAUGAACACGAAAUAAAAUUGAGAAGCAGGAUAGAAACCAUUUUAAUUUCAUACAUGUUAGUGUUUAUUUUUUUACUCAGCUAUUCGUUAUCCAUUAGUUAAAAGAAAUAGAGUACCAUGCUGAGGUGCUCUAGACGCAAAAAAUGCUUUCUAGAAAGUAUUGUCGGACCUUAAUCAUAGGAAACUAUUCUGUAAUAGAACCAAAAUUAUAAUUGAAAACACCAAGUCCAAUAAUAUCUAGAGCUAAGCUUGAAAACUUUGCUUCAAGGUCUAACUCAAUUGCAUCUCCUCCACGUAAAUGCUCUCCAUCUAAAAGCUUUUCAAAUUUCUGUGUUGUUCUUUCUGAACUAUCAGUGAAUACAUUGAUCAUAGCUUUCAAGUAUAAUGCAUGGAACCUAGGAGCAAUCACUGUAUGUUUUUUAAACAUAUUAAACCUUACCAAAAAUAUUAUCUGCAAAAAUUUUUUUCACAGAAACAAUUCAAGUGUCUCGUCCUCCCUCUUAAUAUUUCAAGAAUAGAUAUUACAAGAAGUGACAAAUGGAAAACCAAAUUUCAAUAAAUCAAUAAAAAUAUUUCACCCAUAAACCUUCACAUUUUCAAAUUCAGGUCCUAAGUCAAUAAAAAUAUAAAUAAAAAUUAAUAAAACCUUCACCUUUUCAAUUUCAGGUACUAAAUCAAUAAAAAUCCUAACAUCACCAAUUCAAGAAAAUGAAAAAUUAAUCAAUGAUCAUGAUAAAAAAAGUUCAAAAAAAAAACAUUACCAUACAUCACAGGUGGGUCGCUGGUAGAAAAGAAGCAAGGAGUGAGCGCUGGUGAUCUGGGUUUAAGAUCAGAAGAGUGAAAGGUAGACCAAGCAGAUGUAAACUGAUUUAGGGGGUUUUAAGAGCAUGCAUGUCAGCUACUUCAGCCGAACCUUGAAAUCUAUUAGCUUGGAAUAUGAAAAGUCAAAACAGCUCACCGUAACCAUAAUCUCAAAAAUUAAUACACUAAUUCCAUUAAAAACAAUCGAUUAAACGAUCCAAAAAGCAAUUUUUUAAUAAAUUUAAAAAGAAAAUAAUAACUUUAAAUUUAAAUAUAUACCAAGAAUAAAAGAAGAGUGAAAGAAGACAGGACGAAGAAUCCUCAAAUCCUUAGCAUAAUAAAUUUAAAAUUUCUUCCCCUUCCUGGCCGCACCCAUGCCCCACACUAUCGCAAAUCAAAUUGUUCGUGUUCGGAGGCAGAGGCGAAGAUGAAAAAGUGGUUCCGAUUGGCAGUUUCAUUGUGAUUGUCAAACCUCCUUAUAUCAUCUUCAUUCCACAGUUAAAACCUAAGCUUCCUUAUUCUUUUUCCUUUUUUCUUUCUCCUUCCCUUUUUCUCUUUUAAAUUUUUUAAUUGUUAGCUGCAGCAUCUUCUGGUUUGUUUUUCAAUCUAGAAGCUUUUCCCCUUAGUUCCGUUUCCAGCAUUUGCCUUUCAAUUUUUUUUUAAAACAUCCCUUGGUUCUGCU